AGGCACUACGGUGCUGAAGUGACAAAUGCCCUGCUUCCAGGAAAAGCCUCUAAGCAUCAGGUAACAUCAAAUCGUACCCCAAACCGACACAGGUGGUCAGGUAGAGAAUACCAAGGCGCUUGAGAGAACUCGGGUGAAGGAACUAGGCAAAAUGGUGCCGUAACUUCGGGAGAAGGCACGCUGAUGGUAGGUGAAGUGACUUGCUCAUGGAGCUGAAAUCAGUCGAAGAUACCAGCUGGCUGCAACUGUUUAUUAAAAACACAGCACUGUGCAAACACGAAAGUGGACGUAUACGGUGUGACGCCUGCCCGGUGCCGGAA
RNAcentral lists this ribosomal RNA (320 nucleotides) under Klebsiella michiganensis. RNAcentral's name for it is "partial 23S ribosomal RNA". It matches the Rfam family "Bacterial large subunit ribosomal RNA", at positions 1572 to 1874 of the family's 2925-position model. Lineage: Bacteria; Pseudomonadati; Pseudomonadota; Gammaproteobacteria; Enterobacterales; Enterobacteriaceae. The record is from RNAcentral.